This is a long non-coding RNA of Gastrolobium bilobum, 480 nucleotides long. RefSeq lists it as uncharacterized. The transcript is spliced from 3 exons. NCBI's taxonomy places the organism in Eukaryota, Viridiplantae, Streptophyta, Magnoliopsida, Fabales, Fabaceae. The record is from RefSeq and is a predicted model, not a curated record.
AAAAAAAGAAGGGAAAGAAGAGAGGAAAGAAGAGAGAAGGAAGAGAGAAAGGGAGAAAGGGAGAAAUCCAAAGAACCAUCAUCCCUCAACCAAAUUGGAUGAUUCCAAAGCCUAAACCACUUAGAUUCUUCCCCUCUUUCAUAAUCCAAGCUUAGUUUUGAGUGGGGAGCAUUGUGGAGAGGGAUAUUGCCCCUCAAAAAUUCGGCCCUUUGUGAGAUUUUAGGGUUUUGGGGGUUUCAACCUCCAUUGAAGCUUGAGGAGCCAUCAAUCCUUGGUUGUGUGACCAUUGGUGGAUUGAGGCAAGAGGACCAAGUGGAGUGACCAACCCUUGGGAUUGUGUGCAAUUGAGGAAAGCUCAAGAGCAAGGUACUGAUAGAGGUGAGGUUGAUCGAGGCAAGAAGCAUGAGUAGACUGUACCUGAUAGCUGGACAUGUUGAGUUGCAUGCCAUUUAGCAUUGCUAUAUGCAUAUUUUGAUGUCA